Molecule: ribosomal RNA, 399 nt
Filed under: Rozella allomycis
Lineage: Eukaryota; Fungi; Rozellomycota
Description: partial small subunit ribosomal RNA
Rfam family: Eukaryotic small subunit ribosomal RNA
Source: RNAcentral
GCUUGUCUCAAAGAUUAAGCCAUGCAUGUCUAAGUAUAAACGAUUAUACAGUGAAACUGCGAAUGGCUCAUUAUAUCAGUUAUAAUUUAUUUGAUAGUACCUUACUACUUGGAUAACUGUGGUAAUUCUAGAGCUAAUACAUGCAAAAAAACCCGACUUCUGGAAGGGUUGUAUUUAUUAGAUAAAAAACCAAUGUGGGCAACCACUCUUUGGUGAUUCAUAGUAACUUAUCGAAUCGCAUGGCCUUGCGCUGGCGAUGGUUCAUUCAAAUUUCUGCCCUAUCAACUGUCGACUGUGAUAUAGACGCUCACAGUGGUUUUGACGGGUAACGGGGAAUCAGGGUUCGAUUCCGGAGAGGGAGCCUUAAAAACGGCUACCACAUCCAAGGAAGGCAGCAGG